Molecule: long non-coding RNA, 7632 nt
Filed under: Solanum tuberosum (potato)
Lineage: Eukaryota; Viridiplantae; Streptophyta; Magnoliopsida; Solanales; Solanaceae
Description: long non-coding RNA (STUB_LNC004679)
Source: RNAcentral
AACAACAUCAUGACCCAUUCAUUUUAAGACAUCACAACUAAUGAACAAAAAUAGAUAAAUAAAAAUAACCACCAAUAAAGUUACUUUCAUUCAUUAAAGAGAUAUAACACUUAACACAUUCUUCAUUUUAAUCAAAUUAUGAAUAAAAUAAAAGUGUAAGAAAACUUAUCAUAAUAAUUACAUCAAAUUCCAUGAAUAAAUUAAAUAAGAAGAUAAAGUAAAGUUGAAUACCGCAAAAUCUUAACCGAAGCUCGAUUAGAACACGCACAACUUUUGUAGGUUGUUUGUGAUGGUAUAUGUGUUUGUGUUGAUAUGAAAAAAAUGAGUAAGGAAGAAAAGAUGUGAAUGUAGGAUUAUUGUUUGAAAGAAGAAUAAAUAAAAUGGAAGUGUUUUCUUUCUUCUUUUUUUCUUCCUGGUGUAGUAUAGUGUUUUUUUUUUUUUUCUCUCUGUGUUUUCUUCUGUCCGUUUGUCUUGCUGUGUCCUCUUUUUUUCUUCUUUUUGGGAAUGGGUGGUAUAUGUAGAUAGGGGUGGUGUGUUGUGGGAAUGGGUGUGUGGAUGUACGUGUGUGGGAGUGUUGUGUGUGGGACGUGGGUAGAUGUGGAGUGAGGAAGUGGGGUAGUGGAGUAGUGUGUAGUAUAUAUAAAUAUAAAUAUAAUAAUUAAGAUUACUAAGUAAUUAUUUAAAUUACUAUAAAUUUAAGAAAAGUUAAAUAACUAAUUAAAAAUAUAAUUAAGAAACACUAGUUUAUUUAUUAAAUAUACAUUAAAAGAAAACAUAUAUAUUUUGAACAUUUUCUUCUCUUUUGAAUUAAUUGAAAACAAAACUUAACUUAAAACAUGACUCUAUUUUUGUGGUUUUCAAAUAUUUUUACACUAAACUUACUAAAAUAUGAUAAAAAAUCAAAAAUAUUUAAUUUUAAAAUGUUAAAAGAAAUAUUUUAACCACUAAAAUUUGUGUAAAACAUCAAGUUCGGUCAAAAAUUACGUGUCUACAGUUUGCCCCUCUUUGACUGAAAACACGAAAAGUUUGCAGACAAAGAAGUAGAUAACGUGACAAAUUUUGACCGGACUUGUAUUUGAAUGAAAAAUUUGUGCGACCGAGUCUUGGGUUUGGACACCCUACAUAUCUCGGGUUAUAAGGGAAUCAGGUCACGUGUAGUUCAAGGAGAUGAGGUGAUGAGUUGGAGGUUGAGUGAGGUUCCAUCGAGGCUCCAGGUCGCGGUUCCUAUCCGAUCCUUUCAAUUAAAAAAAAUGAAAACUAAUAGUCAAAAGGAAAAUAAAUUACAAGCUCCUAUCUAUGCAGCUUUUCUUGAGUCUUUACUUUGACAUAUCACCUUGAUUUUUGUGAGUAUCUUGAUCUUGAAUGGAUUCGAGGCUCAACUUGCCACUUAGAGUGAGUUUUUGGCACUCUUCAAAAUGACAAAUUGAAAAUGUUCUUGAAUGACUGCUUGUUUUGUUGAUCAGUAAUUGAAUAGAAGUGGGUGUCAAGAGGGCAGACUGCUACCUGCAUUGAAGAAUUGGAUUCUGGCUAUCAUUGGAUUGAUCAUUCUGAAAAAAAGUUGAAACUUUGUUCUUGAAUUUCAAAUCCAUGUAGCGCUUGAAGAAACCUGAAAACCAUCACAAACAAAAGAAAUACACAAAAAAUAAUUUGCCGCAGUUUUCACUGGAAAUUUUUUGUGACUUAUUAGCAAAUGUAAAUUAAAAAUAUAAACUAAGACUAGGAAGUGUUUUAUCCUAGGAGAAAAAAGAAAAAAAAAACGGUCUCAGACUAGAAAGUGUUUAUCCUAGGAGAAAAUAACUAAAUCCCAUUAUGUAGGAAGGUCGUGCUAAUCCCAUUGUAGGAGGGUCCUGCUAAUCCCAUUGUAGGAUGGUCCUGCUAAUCUAAUAUCAUUAUGUACGAGGGUUCUGCUAAUCUCAUUAUGUAGGAGGCUCCUGCUAAUCUAAAUCUCAUUAUGUAGGAGGGUUCUGCUAAUCUAAAUCUCAUUAUGUAGGAGGGUCCUGCUAAUCCCAUUAGGUAGGAGAGUCCUGCUAAUCGCAUUAUGAAGGAGGGUCCUGCUAAUCUAAAUAACAUUAUGUAGGAGGGUCCUACUAAUCCAUUAGGUAGGAGGGUCCUGUUAAUUCUAUUAUGUAGGAGGGUCCUGCUAAUCUAAAUCCCAUUACGUAAGAGGGUCCUGCUAAUCUAAAUCCCAUUAUGUAAUAGGGUCCUGCUAAUCUAAAUCCCAUUACGUAAGAGGGUCCUGCUAAUCUAAAUCCCAUUACGUAAGAGGGUCCUGCUAAUCUAAAUCCCAUUACGUAAGAGGGUCCUGCUAAAAUCCCAUUAUGUAGGAGGGUCCUGCUAGUCUAAAUCUCAUUAUGUAGGAGGGUCCUGCUAAUCCCAUUAUGUAUGAGGGUCCUGCUAGUCCCAUUAUGUAGGAGGGUUCUGCUAAUCUAAAUCACAUUAUGUAAGAGGGUCCUGCUAAUCCCAUUGUGUAGGAGGGUCCUGCUAAUCUCAUUAUGUAUGAGGGUCCUGCUAGUUCCAUUAUGUAGGAGGGUCCUGCUAAACCAAAUCUCAAUAUGUAGGAGGGUCCUGCUAGUUCCAUUAUGUAGGAGGGUCUUGCUAGUAGGAGGGUCCUACUAAUCUAAAUCCCAUUAUGUAGGAGGGUCCUACUAAUCUAAAUCCCAUUAUGUAGGAGGGUCCUACUAAUCUAAAUCCCAUUAUGUAGGAGGGUCCUACUAAUCUAAAUCCCAUUAUGUAGGAGGGUCCUACUAAUCUAAAUCCCAUUAUGUAGGAGGGUCCUACUAAUCUAAAUCCCAUUAUGUAGGAGGGUCCUACUAAUCUAAAUCCCAUUAUGUAGGAGGGUCCUACUAAUCUAAAUCCCAUUAUGUAGGAGGGUCCUACUAAUCUAAAUCCCAUUAUGUAGGAGGGUCCUGCUAAACUAAAUUUCGAUAGGAGGGUCCUGCUAUUCUAAAUCUCAUUAUGUAGGAGGGUCCUGCUAAUCCCAUUAUGAAGAGGUUCCUGAUAAUCCCAUUAUUAGGAGGGACCUACUAAUCUAAGUCCCAUUAUGAGGAGGGUCCUGCUAUAUAGAAUCAUCACAACAUUUAUUUAUUUCUUUUUUCUUUUUUUAGCCCCAAUUUGCACCAUAAAAUUUUUGUGAGUAAUUAGUAAUGGUAAGCUUCAAAAUAAUAAAUGUCUCAAACUAAGAAGUUUAUAUAUCCCAAGAGAAAGAAAAAAAAAUGUUCAGACUAGGAAGCAUUUAUUCUAAAAGAGAGUGAAAAAAAGUAAACGUCUCAGACUAGAAUGUGAUUAUCCUAGGAGAAAAAAUAAAAACAAAUGUGAUCCAUGCAUUUUUUAUUCUUAUUUUUAUUUAUUUUUUGCAAUGAUUUUUAAAUUUGAGGUUUCCAAAUAACCUUUAUGUCAGCAUCAACAUUUUCCUUGUUUGGAAAAAGAAAGAAGAAGAAAAAAAAAUGAUAAUCACUUGUGUUGUGGCUUUCAAAGCAGCUUGACUUACAAUCUUUCCAGACUUGAUGCCAUUUUCCACCAUUUCACCAAUCUUAAUAACUUCAGCAAAUGUUUUUCCAACAACGGAAAGUAAAUAAUGAAAGUAAUCUGGUUCUUCCGCUUGGAUAAAAACAUCAAUCAUUUCAGACUCUUUCAUUUGUGGCUUAACCCUAGCAGCUUGCUCCCUCCACAUAAUAGCAUAUUCCCAAAAAUUUCCGUUGGUCUUCUUUCUCAUGUUGACAAGUGAAGUACGAUCUGGAACUAUGUCAAUGUUAUAUUGAAAUUGUUGAACAAAACAUCGAGCCUAAUCAUCACAUGUAUGCCAGUUAGAAAUAUCUUGCUCUAUGAACCAUUCUGAGGCAAUUCCCAUCAAACUUUCCCCAAAACAAGUCAUGAGCAAUUCUUCUUUGUUUCCAGCCCCUCUCAAUUGAUUACAAUAUCUCUUUAAAUGAGCUACAGGAUCUCCAUGUCCAUCAUAUUUCUCGAACUUUGGAGUUUUAAAACCGAUGGGCAGAUGAACAUGGGGAAACAUGCACAAAUCAUUGAACGAGACACUUUUGUGACCUCCUAAUCCUUGCAUAUAUCUUACACUCUGUUCCAAACUCUUCAUUUUUCUAGCCAUUUCUUCAUGUUCCUCGUUCUUAACAGUUUUUUCAGCCUCAACAUGGGAACUAUACUGAUGAGUGUGAGGGUAAAAGCUUGGAAUUUUAAAAGUCAAUUCAGGAGUAUAAUCUCGAUCAUAUUGAACUUUGGGUGGAGGAUCAUUGUUGGAUUUUAGCUCCAUUAUAGGUUGUUGAACGACAUUAGUCGGCGUAGUUGGAAUAAAUAGUGGAUUACUUGUCAUAGGCGUACUCAAAAGGCGCACCAUAGAUGUUCCAGCUACGUUGGAUGCGGGACCGAAUCCAGGUGGAUAAAUUGGAUCACUUAUCGAUACUUGGAUAGGGGUGACAUAUUUGUAUUUAGAUAGUGACGGAUUGAAGGCGGUGGAGCUUGUCCACUUAUCCAAGCUUCGUACAUCUCCGUCAUUUGCUAUCUUAAUAUCCUUAUCUCUUCGACUGACACUGUUUCUUGUGACAUCAUCUGGUUCUGGUCCUCAUCAUUGUCCGACUCAUUUCCGUCUUUGUGAGUCAUUUUCUUUUUCCCUUUUGACCUUGUAUUGUAGGGAUGAAAUACCAGCUUAAACACAAAUCAAACACCUUAAUUUAACUGUGCAUGGAUAAUAAUGCUUAUUAGGGUCAGUCUUCUUCAGUUAUAAGUUGUUUUUUUUAAAUGAUUUAAUAAUGCAUCCAUCAAAUCCAUUUUAGAUUCUGUACGUAAUACGCUUGCGAACAUAACUAAGAUCUUUGCAUAUUUUUUUCAAAAACUCAAUAACUAAGCUUUUCUUUUUUAGAAUUUUGAGAUAAAAUCCUUUAGUUUUUUUUUAUUUGAAUUAUUAAAAGAAAAUUAAUAAAAAAUUCUUUUUAAUAAAGAUUAAAGUUUCUUGUUUUUUUUUUGUUUUUUUUUGAAUUUUUGAACAAAGAUUUUUAUUUUUUUAUUUUUAUUUUUUUGAAUAAAGAUCACCGAACCCAAAGAGGGUUGUCUACGUAUCUCAUUGAGGUGAGAAUCAGGUGUGCGUAGUUCAUCCAGAUUGUACAGUAAAAAAAACUUUUAAGAUAUUAAAUUUUUUUUAUUUUGACAAAUGUAACUUUUCAAAGUUUUGUGAAAGUAAAAUAUUUUGAAUUUUAUUUUUACAAACUUUAUGAAAAAAAAAUCUAAAUAAAAAUAUUAUUAUUCUUUUCAUUAAGUAAUGCAAAUUUUUACUUUAUUUUAAGAAAUGUAUAAUAACUUCUAAAAGAAGAAAUAUUUUCGUGUUUUCUCCUUCUUUUUUUUUUAAAAAAUAAGAUCAAAAGAUAAUGUUUUUCAUUGUAUUAGUCAUAUUAAAAAGCGUCAACUUAUAAAGACUUUCAAAUAAAUGCAUUUUCAUGUAACACAUAAAAUGAGCUAAGUGGUCAAGUAAGAGAGGGAUACUUGUCCUGAACGGACCCAACUCUUGUUUUGAGGAUCACUAAGUCACAUGAAAAUGAUGCAAAUAAUCAUAGUCUUCUAGUGAUAAUUAUGUCUAUGUUCUAGUUUUACUAGGUUCAAACCUGAAUAAGAUACCUAUCUAGACUGGCUUACCCAAGUAGACAACUCAAGCUAGGGAGGGACAACUUAUCGAAAGCAGUGUUAUUUCGACUUCAUUACUGGUCCAUCCCGCCUAACAUAUGUGACUAAAUAUCCUUCACUGGGUGUCAAGAAACUCCAGCUUUAUCUCAAGGGAAAAUAGGAUGCAUAACUGCAUUCCUAUGAACGUGUUAUGUGUAUUCAAAGACCCAUAAGGUGUGCGUGAGAAAAAUGAAUUUAGUAUAGUUCAACAAUAUAAAUAUAAAAAGCAAUAAAUGAGUAGCAAGUAGCACAUUAAGCCAUCAAAAACAAUAUAUCCAAUAAAUAAAAUAAUAAAAUCAAGUAAAAGUCAAUAUAACAAAGCUCGAAUUCUGGUUAAUUCCCAGCGGAGUCGCCAAAGAUGUCACACCCCUUUUUCGCGCACAGCGGCAAGGGUUUUUCCAAUUUGAGUGAUGGUAUUGAUUAAAAGAUUAUUUUAUUUUUUCAGAGUCGCCACUUGGAAUUGAAUUAUGGUGUUCCAAGUCACCUAUUUGUUUAAUCCCUACUCAAAAGAAAAUGACUCUUUAGUUUGGUCUGCGAACUAGAAAUUCGGGCAAGAAAUUCUAUUGACCGAAGGGAAGGUAUUAGGCACCCCUCAGAGUUAUGGUGUUCCAAGUCACCUUUUGUUUAAUCCCUAAUCAAAAGGAAAUGACUCUUUAUAUGGUUUGCGAACUAGAAAUUCGGGUAAGGAAUUUUGUUGACCGAGGGGAAGGUAUUAGGCAUCCCUCGAGUCCCGUGGUUCUACCACGGUCGCUUUUAUUGACUUAUACUUACUUUAAAUCAUUUGGGGAUAUAUUCUUUUCAGGCCAUGACUUGUUUACAUUUCUACUGUUGAACUUUUAUUUAGUCUCAAAUCGGAUGCAUAACUGCAUUCUCGACUUUUGACAUAUAAAUAGCUUAUGAGCAUAAUUGUUUUCUUCUCUCGAGUGCAUCACCUAAUUUUAUCUAUAAGUGAUCUUAUUUUAAAUUAAUGAAAGUUAUUAUAUUUUUGGACAAGGUGCAUCCCCGCAUCCUUGAGUUUUUUUUCAAUGGCUAAAAAAAAAUGCGCAACCGCAUUCUUAAUCGAAACAAAUAAUUUUAACGUGCAUAAAACUCAUCUAGUAUUAAAAGUACCUACUCUUAUUUUCCUGAAUUCUAGACAACUAAUCUUCUCAUUUCAUUAUUAUAUUUAUUGAUGAUGCUUUUAAUUCAAUUAAUCCACAUGUUAAAAUAUAUAUUAGAAUAAUUUAUCAAGGUGUGUCAUCACAUCCUUGAAUUUCUUUUAAGUGUUUCAAAAAAAGAUGUGUAACCACAUUCUUAAUUGAAACAAAUAUUAUAUUUUUUACAUGCCUAUAACCCAUCUAAUGUUAUAAGAAAAUAUUAAAUAAAAUCAAAUAAAACAAAACAAAUCUAAACUUCUAGGAUACAAUAUAAAUUUUGGAUUAUCUUAUAUUCUUUUAUUUUUAUUCACCCUUAAAGUUAAUGUUAAAAUUAGGCCUACACAUAUUAUAUUUUUAUUUUUAUUUUUAUCUUGAAGUUAAUGGCGAAAUUAGGCAUACUCAUAUUGUACUUUUUUAUUAAUCCAACAAAACAAUGACGAAUUGGUAAAAUAAAUAUCAUUCUUUAUUUAAUAAAUAAAACAAUAAUAAUUUUGUGAACCCAAUAAUUCUUACUUUAUCAUUAUUAGCAUCGAAAUCAAGAAAUGAACAACAUCAUGACCCAUUCAUUUUAAGACAUCACAACUAAUGAACGAAAAUAGAUAAAUAAAAAUAACCACCAAUAAAGUUACUUUCAUUCAUUAAAGAGAUAUAACACUUAACACAUUCUUCAUUUUAAUCAAAUUAUGAAUAAAAUAAAAGUGUAAGAAAACUUGUCAUAAUAAUUACAUCAAAUUCCAUGAAUAAAUUAAAUAAGAAGAUAAAGUAAAGUUGAAUACCGCAAAAUCUUAACCGAAGCUCGAUUAGAACACGCACAACUUUUGUAGGUUGUUUGUGA